UACGUAGGGUGCGAGCGUUAAUCGGAAUUACUGGGCGUAAAGUGUGCGCAGGCCGCCGAGCAAGUCGAGUGUGAAAGCCCCGAGCUUAACUUGGGAACUGCGCUCGAAACUACUUGGCUAGAGUGUGGCAGAGGGAGGUGGAAUUCCACGUGUAGCGGUGAAAUGCGUAGAGAUGUGGAGGAACACCAGUGGCGAAGGCGGCUCACUGGACCGGUACUGACGCUGAGGCGCGAAAGCGUGGGGAGCAAACAGG
Molecule: ribosomal RNA, 253 nt
Filed under: uncultured bacterium
Lineage: Bacteria
Description: partial 16S ribosomal RNA
Rfam family: Bacterial small subunit ribosomal RNA
Source: RNAcentral